RNAcentral lists this unclassified non-coding RNA (279 nucleotides) under Melitaea cinxia (Glanville fritillary). RNAcentral's name for it is "misc RNA ENSMCXG00005015646.1". The record is from RNAcentral. Lineage: Eukaryota; Metazoa; Arthropoda; Insecta; Lepidoptera; Nymphalidae.
UACUUUAUAAAAUUGUGUGAUCCUUGCUUAGCGUUGUCUCGAUUCAACAAAUAUUAUAGUGUCAGUGUUUAUCGCCCCCAAACUGGGGUUCGACGAUUGGGUCACCAAUUUCGACGAUUGGGUCACCGAUUUCGACGUUUGGCUCACCAAUUACGACGUUCAAACCAAUUUCGACGUUUCCACCUAACCCCGACGACGAGAGUGCACUCCGCCGGGUCUUGAACUACCCGUUCCUGCCGCCCCCGGUCGAAAGCGGAAUCCUGCCACGCGACUCCCGGG